Small nucleolar RNA from Beta vulgaris subsp. vulgaris (sugar beet), 130 nucleotides. The record is from Rfam. Lineage: Eukaryota; Viridiplantae; Streptophyta; Magnoliopsida; Caryophyllales; Amaranthaceae.
GAGUAAGGUCAUGAAAUUUAGAUUGAUGGAAUUUUGCACUGGAGAUUGGCAAUUAUGAAAGAUAGGAUGAUCUCCGUAUCUUUCAAACUCUGCUUUGUGUUUAUUGGGGCCUCGAACAAAUCGCUACAUG